UACGGAGGGUGCAAGCGUUGUCCGGAAUCACUGGGCGUAAAGGGCGCGUAGGCGGCUCAUGAAGGCUGUGGUGAAAGUCCGGGGCUCAACCUCGGAUCGGCCCGUGGCGACUCGUGGGCUGGAGCACUGUAGAGGCGGGUGGAAUUCCGGGUGUAGCGGUGGAAUGCGUAGAGAUCCGGAAGAACACCGGUGGCGAAGGCGGUCUGCUGGGCAGUUGUCUGACACUGA
This 228-nucleotide ribosomal RNA is filed under the name uncultured bacterium. RNAcentral's name for it is "partial 16S ribosomal RNA". It matches the Rfam family "Bacterial small subunit ribosomal RNA", at positions 524 to 749 of the family's 1533-position model. The record is from RNAcentral.